Molecule: long non-coding RNA, 228 nt
Filed under: Homo sapiens (human)
Lineage: Eukaryota; Metazoa; Chordata; Mammalia; Primates; Hominidae
Description: HSALNT0373846
Source: RNAcentral
CUAACUCCCCACAUAGCAUAGCUGUGAAGUGGAUCCAGUGGCCCUGAGGGACCAACACAAUGUAAGGAGCUGGACCUUGUGCACUCUUGCUCCUCUCUUGCUGCCUCCUUAUCUAACUUCUGCUCAGUCACCUCUGCAUUCUACCUGUAGAAAAGUGACUCAACAUCAUUCCAGAAGUCCGGAAUUCUACAAGAAUCAUCUCAAGUGCACUACAAAACCAGAACAACU